RNAcentral lists this transfer RNA (76 nucleotides) under Patescibacteria group bacterium. Its description in RNAcentral is "tRNA-Val". It matches the Rfam family "tRNA". Rfam says of the family: Transfer RNA (tRNA) molecules are approximately 80 nucleotides in length. Their secondary structure includes four short double-helical elements and three loops (D, anti-codon, and T loops). The record is from RNAcentral.
GGGCGAGUAGCUCAGCGGCUAGAGCAUCCGCCUUACACGCGGCAGGCCAGAGGUUCAAAUCCUCUCUCGCCCACCA